Long non-coding RNA from Apteryx rowi (Okarito brown kiwi), 2039 nucleotides. NCBI's taxonomy places the organism in Eukaryota, Metazoa, Chordata, Aves, Apterygiformes, Apterygidae. The record is from Ensembl.
UGGGUCGCCCCCGUGCCAGACAUGUAGCUAAGGAGGGAACUGCCAACCUGACUAUUUUUGUAUUUAAAUGAAAGGAAAAAAAAAAAGAAAAGAAAAAAAAACCCCUAAAAACAAAACUUGCUGUUGACCGAACUCACAUUGCCGCGAUUUUAAGUUAUUGUUGCCAAAGAGAUGUAAAGAGUUUGUCGAGGCAUUUUGGGGGGGGGGGGAUUCUCACGGUUGUUUAUUCAUUUGUUUUUGUUUCUUUGUUGUUGUUUUUUUUGUUUUUUUGUUUUUUAAUUCAUUUGAGGCUUAGGAUAAGUGUGCAAUUCCAACUUCCAGAAGGAACUGGAACUAAGCGGAGCUGAGUGAAACCUUGAAAUCAGGGCUGUGUUUCCUUUGGGGGCCUAUAGACCAAACCCUGAGGUGCCACCAAGCCAGGAGGUGCAGCGAAGCCCCAGGAGCCCUGGGGCUGGCUGGAGCAGGGCUGCUGCCCACGGCGGCUGCCUCUGGCCCUUGUCCCGGCCCCAAAGCACCUGCGACCCCCCCGAACCGGCACAGCGCGACGGCCGGCGCCCACGGGACGGCUUCAGGCUCCCAGCGCUCUUGCAGCAGCUCCGGGCAGGUCCCCGCCGGGCGAGGGAGGUGGCUGCGGGGUCGACUUAAGUCAAGCGGCAGCUCAGGCAGGUCCCUGCCUGCUCCCUGGCUGCUGCCUCCGUCCGUGGGUGGCAGGAGUGGGCAAUUCCCGGCUCAGGGAUGCAGCCACGGUGCCGGGAGGAAGCAGGCGGCCGGCUGCAGCUCGGGGCCUCGGUGUGGCUCCGUCCCCGCAAGAGGAAGCAGCGGCACGGGGCCGAUGGAAACCAGCCCUUGCGUUAGCCGGCGUCCGAGCAGUCCCGGAGAAGGCGCUUUCCUCCAGGGAGCUGCGGAACCGGCGGAGGGGCUGCAGCAGCGAUCAGCAACUGAUUGGAGCUGGAAGCUACACGCUCCUUUACAGCAAAACACCGACAGCRAUCUACACACGCGGGGGCUCUUUGCUACUCAUCACAUGCUCCUGGGCUAAAGCUACUGUUAAAACAACCAGCAACCGACCGUUCCUCUGAGCUCUAGCAAUUAAAAAGUGCAAAAUGACAAAUAUAAUGAAAAAGGCAAAAAUGUUAAAGGGCAUUGCCAUCCCCCCAAAGCACGUUGCCAGCAGGUCCCUCACUGCCGCCUCAUCCUGCCAGCAAAGCCGGAGCUGGGCAGCUGCUCGCCCAGAAGAGCUGCAGCUCCUGCGCGGGAAGCCCUGCUCCCUCUUCCCAUUUCCGUAGCAGGUGCCUGGGGAGCGGGACCGCGUCCCGGGGCCCUGCCAGGGCUUGGGGCGGGCGGCAGGGGCUGAGAUGCUCCCACUCGUGCGGCAGCGGGAUCGCGGGGCCAGGCCCGGGAAGAGGCUCCGGCGGAGCCGGGCUGGCAGCGCGCGGGCGCCCUGGCAGCAGCCGGCACAAGCGCAGCGCAUGCAGCCACCACGGGCAGGACGGCAGCGAGCUGCGGCCCGGGAAAGGGGGUGCGCAAACACCUUCACCCCGGGAGCAGGAUCUGGAUCUGAGCAGGAGCCUKGCCAUGGAAUGCCCAUUGCCGCCAGGUCCGUCUCGGAGCCGAUGAUGGGGAUGGUGGGGGGGGGGGUUAACACUGCGGAGUGACCAGAGCUGCCACCUCCUAAAGUAUUUUUCUAGCUUAUAUUUUACAGCAGUACCAUAACACCCGACUAUAUACAGAGACCCAGCCGGUAGCUGGGCCGAGCCUUACAAAACCUCCGYGUCCACGUUUCCCUCCUGAGAGCAAGGCUCUGCCCCUUCCCGGGCGCCGCGACGCCAGCACCCGCGCCGGCAGGGUGCUGCAGACCCCGCAGCGCCCGACUUGCAGCGGCCGAGAAAACCAGCGGAGCAGCCAACGGCUCACAGCAGCGAUCGGGAGCCGGCGGAGGUUUUAUCACCCGCUUUGCUCGUAAGGAGCCUCGGGGCUUUCCGGCCGGCCGGUGGGCUCCCUCCYGGGCUGCAGCAAGGGGGGGACCAUCGUGGCAGCAC